Molecule: ribosomal RNA, 495 nt
Filed under: uncultured bacterium
Lineage: Bacteria
Description: partial 16S ribosomal RNA
Rfam family: Bacterial small subunit ribosomal RNA
Source: RNAcentral
GACGAACGCUGGCGGCGUGCCUAAUACAUGCAAGUAGAACGCUGAAGGAGGAGCUUGCUUCUCUGGAUGAGUUGCGAACGGGUGAGUAACGCGUAGGUAACCUGCCUGGUAGCGGGGGAUAGCUAUUGGAAACGAUAGCUAAUACCGCAUAACAGUAGAUAUCGCAUGAUAUCUACUUGAAAGGUGCAAUUGCAUCACUACCAGAUGGACCUGCGUUGUAUUAGCUAGUUGGUGAGGUAACGGCUCACCAAGGCGACGAUACAUAGCCGACCUGAGAGGGUGAUCGGCCACACUGGGACUGAGACACGGCCCAGACUCCUACGGGAGGCAGCAGUAGGGAAUCUUCGGCAAUGGACGGAAGUCUGACCGAGCAACGCCGCGUGAGUGAAGAAGGUUUUCGGAUCGUAAAGCUCUGUUGUAAGAGAAGAACGAGUGUGAGAGUGGAAAGUUCACACUGUGACGGUAUCUUACCAGAAAGGGACGGCUAACUACGUG